RNAcentral lists this ribosomal RNA (481 nucleotides) under uncultured bacterium. Its description in RNAcentral is "partial 16S ribosomal RNA". It matches the Rfam family "Bacterial small subunit ribosomal RNA", at positions 30 to 507 of the family's 1533-position model. The record is from RNAcentral.
UUGAACGCUGGCGGCAUGCUUUACGCAUGCAAGUCGAACGGUAACAGGCCGCAAGGUGCUGACGAGUGGCGAACGGGUGAGUAAUGCAUCGGAACGUGCCCAGUCGUGGGGGAUAACUACUCGAAAGAGUAGCUAAUACCGCAUACGAUCUAUGGAUGAAAGCGGGGGACCGUAAGGCCUCGCGCGAUUGGAGCGGCCGAUGUCAGAUUAGGUAGUUGGUGGGGUAAAGGCUCACCAAGCCAACGAUCUGUAGCUGGUCUGAGAGGACGACCAGCCACACUGGGACUGAGACACGGCCCAGACUCCUACGGGAGGCAGCAGUGGGGAAUUUUGGACAAUGGGCGCAAGCCUGAUCCAGCAAUGCCGCGUGCAGGAAGAAGGCCUUCGGGUUGUAAACUGCUUUUGUACGGAACGAAACGGCUCUGGUUAAUACCCGGGGCUAAUGAUGGUACCGUAAGAAUAAGCACCGGCUAACUACGUG